AUUGAACGCUGGCGGCAGGCCUAACACAUGCAAGUCGAGCGGAUGAAGGGAGCUUGCUCCUGGAUUCAGAGGCGGACGGGUGAGUAAUGCCUAGGAAUCUGCCUGGUAGUGGGGGAUAACGUCCGGAAACGGGCGCUAAUACCGCAUACGUCCUGAGGGAGAAAGUGGGGGAUCUUCGGACCUCACGCUAUCAGAUGAGCCUAGGUCGGAUUAGCUAGUUGGUGGGGUAAAGGCCUACCAAGGCGACGAUCCGUAACUGGUCUGAGAGGAUGAGCAGUCACACUGGAACUGAGACACGGUCCUGACUCCUACGGGAGGCAGCAGUGGGGAAUAUUGGACAAUGGGCGAAAUCCUGAUCCAGCCAUGCCGCGUGUGUGAAGAAGGUCUUCGGAUUGUAAAGCACUUUAAGUUGUGAGGAAGGGCAGUAAGUUAAUACCUUGCUGUUUUGACGUUACCAACAGAAUAAGCACCGGCUAACUUCGUG
RNAcentral lists this ribosomal RNA (484 nucleotides) under uncultured bacterium. Its description in RNAcentral is "partial 16S ribosomal RNA". It matches the Rfam family "Bacterial small subunit ribosomal RNA", at positions 30 to 507 of the family's 1533-position model. The record is from RNAcentral.